RNAcentral lists this ribosomal RNA (849 nucleotides) under Ciboria americana. RNAcentral's name for it is "partial large subunit ribosomal RNA". It matches the Rfam family "Eukaryotic large subunit ribosomal RNA", at positions 77 to 943 of the family's 3401-position model. The record is from RNAcentral. Lineage: Eukaryota; Fungi; Ascomycota; Leotiomycetes; Helotiales; Sclerotiniaceae.
GCCUCAGUAACGGCGAGUGAAGCGGCAAAAGCUCAAAUUUGAAAUCUGGCUCUUUCAGGGUCCGAGUUGUAAUUUGUAGAAGAUGCUUCGGGUGUGGUUCCGGUCUAAGUUCCUUGGAACAGGACGUCAUAGAGGGUGAGAAUCCCGUAUGUGACCGGAUACCUAUGCUCAUGUGAAGCUCUUUCGACGAGUCGAGUUGUUUGGGAAUGCAGCUCAAAAUGGGUGGUAUAUUUCAUCUAAAGCUAAAUAUUGGCCAGAGACCGAUAGCGCACAAGUAGAGUGAUCGAAAGAUGAAAAGCACUUUGGAAAGAGAGUUAAACAGUACGUGAAAUUGUUGAAAGGGAAGCGCUUGCAAUCAGACUUGCACCUGGUGUUCAGCGGGGAUUCGUUCCCCGUGUACUUCAUCAGGUUCAGGCCAGCAUCGGUUUGAGUGGUUGGAUAAAGGCCUUGAGAAUGUGGCCCUCUUCGGGGGGUGUUAUAGCUCUCGGUGCAAUGCAGCCUACUUGGACCGAGGACCGCGCUUCGGCUAGGAUGCUGGCGUAAUGGUUGUAAGCGACCCGUCUUGAAACACGGACCAAGGAGUCUAAUAUUUAUGCGAGUGUUUGGGUGUUAAACCCAUACGCGUAAUGAAAGUGAACGGAGGUGAGAACCCUUUAGGGUGCAUCAUCGACCGAUCCUGAUGUCUUCGGAUGGAUUUGAGUAAGAGCAUAAAUAUUGGGACCCGAAAGAUGGUGAUCUAAACGUGAAUAGGGUGAAGCCAGAGGAAACUCUGGUGGAGGCUCGCAGCGGUUCUGACGUGCAAAUCGAUCGUCAAAUUUGCGUUUAGGGGCGAAAGACUAAUCGAACCAU